GUCCCUGUAGCUCAGCCGGAUAGAGCGGCUGCCUUCUAAGCAGUAGGUCGUGGGUUCGAGUCCCACCAGGGACGCCA
Molecule: transfer RNA, 77 nt
Filed under: Dehalococcoidales bacterium
Lineage: Bacteria; Bacillati; Chloroflexota; Dehalococcoidia; Dehalococcoidales
Description: tRNA-Arg
Rfam family: tRNA
About the family: Transfer RNA (tRNA) molecules are approximately 80 nucleotides in length. Their secondary structure includes four short double-helical elements and three loops (D, anti-codon, and T loops).
Source: RNAcentral